RNAcentral lists this ribosomal RNA (256 nucleotides) under Gammaproteobacteria bacterium. RNAcentral's name for it is "partial 23S ribosomal RNA". It matches the Rfam family "Bacterial large subunit ribosomal RNA", at positions 2679 to 2925 of the family's 2925-position model. The record is from RNAcentral. Lineage: Bacteria; Pseudomonadati; Pseudomonadota; Gammaproteobacteria.
UAGUACGAGAGGACCGGAGUGGACGAACCUCUGGUGUUCCGGUUGUGAUGCCAAUUGCAUUGCCGGGUAGCUAUGUUCGGAAAGGAUAACCGCUGAAAGCAUCUAAGCGGGAAGCCCCCCUCAAGAUUAGAUCUCACUGGGACUUUAAGUCCCCUGAAGAGCCCUCGAAGACUACGAGGUUGAUAGGCGGGAUGUGUAAGCGCUGUGAGGCGUUGAGCUAACCCGUACUAAUUGCUCGUGAGGCUUGAUCAUAUAU